CUACUGAGAUCAGUGAUGCAACUGGAGUAAUAUCUUAGUUACCCAUGAAACCUAGGAAUAGAUUAAAGCCCAGAUCAAACGAGAAUGAAUGCCGAUGAAAGAAAUUCAUGAUAGCGUUGGGAUAGCAUUUAGAACAGCUAACCAGAUCACGUGAUUGCCAACUCUCGUGCACUCUCAUGCGUCCUAGUUUGAUUCGGGCUUAACUAAUACAAUUUUUGCAAACAGCUAAUGGAGCCACUACACCGA
Non-coding RNA from Paramuricea clavata, 246 nucleotides. Lineage: Eukaryota; Metazoa; Cnidaria; Anthozoa; Malacalcyonacea; Plexauridae. The record is from the annotation of a GenBank genome assembly.